RNAcentral lists this ribosomal RNA (928 nucleotides) under uncultured fungus. Its description in RNAcentral is "SSU rRNA". It matches the Rfam family "Eukaryotic small subunit ribosomal RNA", at positions 564 to 1528 of the family's 1831-position model. The record is from RNAcentral. Lineage: Eukaryota; Fungi.
GUGCCAGCAGCCGCGGUAAUUCCAGCUCCAAUAGCGUAUAUUAAAGUUGUUGCAGUUAAAAAGCUCGUAGUUGAAACUUGGGCCUGGCUGGCGGGUCCGCCUCACCGCGUGCACUCGUCCGGCCGGGCCUUCCUUCUGAAGAACCUCAUGCCCUUCACUGGGCGUGCUGGGGAAUCAGGACUUUUACUUUGAAAAAAUUAGAGUGUUCAAAGCAGGCCUUUGCUCGAAUACGUUAGCAUGGAAUAAUAAAAUAGGGCGUGCGUUUCUAUUUUGUUGGUUUCUAGAGACGCCGCAAUGAUUAACAGGAACAGUCGGGGGCAUCAGUAUUCAGUUGUCAGAGGUGAAAUUCUUGGAUUUACUGAAGACUAACUACUGCGAAAGCAUUUGCCAAGGAUGUUCUCAUUAAUCAGUGAACGAAGGUUAGGGGAUCGAAGACGAUCAGAUACCGUCGUAGUCUUAACCGUAAACUAUGCCGACUAGGGAUCGGGCGAUGUUCUUUUUCUGACUCGCUCGGCACCUUACGAGAAAUCAAAGUUUUUGGGUUCUGGGGGGAUUAUGGUCGCAAGGCUGAAACUUAAAGAAAUUGACGGAAGGUCACCACCAGGCGUGGAGCCUGCGGCUUAAUUUGACUCAACACGGGGAAACUCACCAGGUCCAGAUGAAAUAAGGAUUGACAGAUUGAGAGCUCUUUCUCGAUUUUUCAGGUGGUGGUGCAUGGCCGUUCUUAGUUCGUGGGGUGACUUGUCUGCUUAAUUGCGAUAACGAGCGAGACCUUACUCUGCUAAAUAGCCAGGCUAACUUUGGUUGGUCGCGGCUUCUUAGAGAGACUAUCACUCAGUUGAUGAGUUUGAGCAAUAACAGUCUGUGAUGCCUUAGAUGUUCUGGUCGCACGCGCGCUUACACUUGACAGAAGCCAACGGAGUCAUGC